CAGCGCCCACACCCAGCCUACCAGGUCAGCGGAUCGCGGAUCGUGCGCCCUCGCCCCACCUCGCCCCCGCGCCGUGCACCCCGACCUCCAUCCUCUGCCGCCGUCCUCGCUGCGUCCAGGCCACCACACCCUGAGUUCCAACCUCCGCAGCCGUGCCUGACUGACGAUCCCCUUACUACAGGCAGAUCCUCCUCCGCAGGGCCCGAGCCGUGGGUGGAUCGAGCCAGCUCAAGUCAUCGGGAUCAGAUUGAGGGAAGAAUGGCCCAAUAAAUUAAAGCAGUAACGGUGCAGAAGGUGAUGCUGAAGCUGUUGACAUCAAUGGAGCUCGCUAAUAGGUGUUGAAAUGCUCUUUACCAACUGCAAAUUUCCUGCAGUUGCCAAAUCCAAGCUACAUAAAGGAUGAAAUUGGGAGGCCGAUGUUCGCACCAAGCAGAAACUUCAGUUUGCGGCUACAGAUGCUUACAUCUCGUAGUAACUAUGUGAGGUUCAAGGGGCAUAUCUUGUCAGCUCCAUUCACUGAAGUAUGUAUGAGGUUUAGACACUGAUUUUUGUCCGCCGAUUGCAGACAAGUAUGAGCUCGAUGCUGGAGAAAGCAAGGAAAUCAAUCUCAGAAAGCAGGGCAUGCUGUCGAAGCUUUUGAGCUGGUACAUGUAUUUCGGCGGCAGAGAUGACAGUAAAUUAUUUGUCAAUCUUGCUAUUAUGAGAAAUUUGAUUUGUUCAAUGUCAAAUGUUCAAAAUACUUUGAGGGAUGUGUAAUUUACACAAUUCUAUUUACAUCAUAGCUGAUGUAUGACCUGUAACAAAAAGAUCACCGUAAUUUUGAAUAAAAUGGUUUUUGUUGAAUUUA
Long non-coding RNA from Panicum virgatum (switchgrass), 847 nucleotides. RefSeq lists it as uncharacterized. Lineage: Eukaryota; Viridiplantae; Streptophyta; Magnoliopsida; Poales; Poaceae. The transcript is spliced from 5 exons. The record is from RefSeq and is a predicted model, not a curated record.